RNAcentral lists this microRNA precursor (99 nucleotides) under Caenorhabditis japonica. RNAcentral's name for it is "pre miRNA CJA48934". It matches the Rfam family "mir-36 microRNA precursor family". The record is from RNAcentral. Lineage: Eukaryota; Metazoa; Nematoda; Chromadorea; Rhabditida; Rhabditidae.
GGGGCAGAAGAGCCAGGACCUACAUCAGUUUCUUUCCGCGGUAAUAAAUAAUACAUUAUUAUCACCGGGAGAAAAACUGGAGUAGGACCUGCGACUCGA